GAUGAACGCUGGCGGCGUGCCUAAUACAUGCAAGUCGAGCGAACAGAUGAGGAGCUUGCUCCUCUGACGUUAGCGGCGGACGGGUGAGUAACACGUGGAUAACCUACCUAUAAGACUGGGAUAACUUCGGGAAACCGGAGCUAAUACCGGAUAAUAUAUUGAACCGCAUGGUUCAAUAGUGAAAGACGGUUUUGCUGUCACUUAUAGAUGGAUCCGCGCCGCAUUAGCUAGUUGGUAAGGUAACGGCUUACCAAGGCAACGAUGCGUAGCCGACCUGACAGGGUGAUCGGCCACACUGGAACUGAGACACGGUCCGGACUCCUACGGGAGGCAGCAGUAGGGAAUCUUCCGCAAUGGGCGAAAGCCUGACGGAGCAACGCCGCGUGAGUGAUGAAGGUCUUCGGAUCGUAAAACUCUGUUAUUAGGGAAGAACAAAUGUGUAAGUAACUAUGCACGUCUUGACGGUACCUAAUCAGAAAGCCACGGCUAACUACGUG
This 497-nucleotide ribosomal RNA is filed under the name uncultured bacterium. RNAcentral describes it as "partial 16S ribosomal RNA". It matches the Rfam family "Bacterial small subunit ribosomal RNA", at positions 28 to 507 of the family's 1533-position model. The record is from RNAcentral.